This 440-nucleotide ribosomal RNA is filed under the name uncultured bacterium. RNAcentral describes it as "partial 16S ribosomal RNA". It matches the Rfam family "Bacterial small subunit ribosomal RNA", at positions 338 to 795 of the family's 1533-position model. The record is from RNAcentral.
CCUACGGGUGGCAGCAGUGAGGGAUAUUGGUCAAUGGGCGAAACCCUGAACCAGCAACGCCGCGUGAGGGAAGACGGUUUUCGGAUUGGAAACCUCUGUCCUCUGUGAAGAUAAUGACGGUAGCAGUGGAGGAAGCUCCGGCUAAAUACGUGCCAGCAGCCGCGGUAAUACGUAGGGAGCAAGCGUUGUCCGGAUUUACUGGGUGUAAAGGGUGAGUAGGCGGGCUUGCAAGUCAGGAGUGAAAUCUAUGGGGUUAAACCAUAAACUGCGGUUGAAACUGUAAGGCUUGAGUGAAGGAGAGGUAGGCGGAAUGCCCGGUGUAGCGGUGAAAUGCGUAGAGAUUGGGAGGAACACCAGUGGCGAAGGCGGCAUACUGGGCUUUAACUGACGCUGAGGCACGAAAGCGUGGGUAGCGAACAGGAUUAGAUACCCCUGUAGUC